RNAcentral lists this ribosomal RNA (295 nucleotides) under uncultured bacterium. RNAcentral's name for it is "partial 16S ribosomal RNA". It matches the Rfam family "Bacterial small subunit ribosomal RNA", at positions 335 to 641 of the family's 1533-position model. The record is from RNAcentral.
ACUCCUACGGGAGGCAGCAGUGGGGAAUAUUGCACAAUGGGCGGAAGCCUGAUGCAGCGACGCCGCGUGAGGGAUGACGGCCUUCGGGUUGUAAACCUCUUUCAGCAGGGACGAAGCGUAAGUGACGGUACCUGCAGAAGAAAGCACCGGCUAACUAUGUGCCAGCAGCCGCGGUAAUACGUAGGGUGCGAGCGUUGUCCGGAAUUACUGGGCGUAAAGAGCUCGUAGGCGGUUUGUCACGUCGUCUGUGAAAUCCUAGGGCUUAACCCUGGACGUGCAGGCGAUACGGGCUGAC